Molecule: transfer RNA, 73 nt
Filed under: Candidatus Woesearchaeota archaeon
Lineage: Archaea; Nanobdellati; Candidatus Woesearchaeota
Description: tRNA-His
Rfam family: tRNA
About the family: Transfer RNA (tRNA) molecules are approximately 80 nucleotides in length.
Source: RNAcentral
GCGGCCAUAGUUUAGCUUGGUAGAACAUGGGACUGUGGAUCCCAGAACGAGGGUCCGAAUCCCUCUGGCCGCU